This 45-nucleotide non-coding RNA is filed under the name Schistosoma margrebowiei. The record is from RNAcentral. Lineage: Eukaryota; Metazoa; Platyhelminthes; Trematoda; Strigeidida; Schistosomatidae.
AUCCAGCUGACGAGUCCCAAAUUGGACGAAACGUUCAUCUUAGAU